GUAGGUGAACCUGCGGAAGGAUCAUUAACACGUUAUCCACGUUAUUCAUCAACCACGCGAACUUAUCAGUUUUUGGGGUUUUUAAGAGGGAGGAUGACUUCUUUUUCUCCUAGAGAAAAAAGUGAACUUCCUUCUUUCCCACUAACUGUUGUGUUUUGUCAUUUUUUGACAAACCUUAAUCACCCCUUUUUAUAAUUCUUCUUUUUCUUUUGCAAAAAAGAGAAACCAAUUAUAAAUGUGAUUUUUUCUUUUUCUACUCAAAGGAUGCUUUCUAAUGAGAGCUAAUCUUUUAAUAACUAACUCAAAACAACUCUUAGCAACGGAUAUCUUGGUUCCC
RNAcentral lists this unclassified non-coding RNA (337 nucleotides) under rhizosphere metagenome. Its description in RNAcentral is "partial ribosomal RNA internal transcribed spacer region". The record is from RNAcentral.